ACAAACUAAGGCUCAGCCUUGUGUUGACCCUUCCCGUCAGGGAUAGGUUGAAAAACAUGCAGAUCCCAGAAAAUCGGAAGCAUACGCAAUAGUAUCGCCAAAGACGCUCUGAAUCUCGAUUAUUACCA
Molecule: unclassified non-coding RNA, 128 nt
Filed under: uncultured Ascomycota
Lineage: Eukaryota; Fungi; Ascomycota
Description: sequence contains ITS2
Source: RNAcentral